AUGAGUUCGUGAGUUCGUUCAUUGGACUCUUGUUCGAUCAUCGUCGUUGUCGGCAUUGUCGUCGUCUUCUGUUGUGCACAAUGCAAACUAUUCAUACAACGAUGACGAUGACGAUGACGAUAAUGAUGAUGAUAACGACUGAAACGGCGACACCUUGGCCGGCGCGGUAGUGGUGUCGAUUAAGAAGAUUUUCCUCUUUCCUACUACGUAGAAAAAAAAAAACAACGUGAAACGUGCAUCUGUUGCUUGGAAUAUUGUUAGGAAAAGUGUAAGAAAAAUUCAUUAAACAUAGAACAAAAGGAAGAAAUGGUCUUGUGAUCCCCAUUAGUUAAAAUUAGUCCUUCGAAAAUAAACGAUAAUCGUUGAUACUUUUUUACGUUUAAUCCUCGACAUUUGAUUUCGUAUCGUAAUAAAAGUAUCAUCUAUUUUAAGGACACACUGUAUAGGGAAACAGAGAAAUAAAGAUAUCGAUGUGUGCCGUAAGAGGUGAGAUAUUAAAAAAAAAUAAAUAAAAGGGAGCUACUAUCGUAAUCGUCGAUUCGUGAUUGGUAUUUAAUCUCGGAGUUUUGAAUUAACAAAAACGACGACGACUACGACGACUACGACGACGACAACGACGACGACGACGACGACGACAACAGGGAAAAAGCUGAUUUUCGAGCAGAAGUUGGUGAAGUUUUCAGUGAAAAACAAAAGGGAAAGGGAAGGACCCGGGAAAAGGGAUAUCGAAAGUGAAGGAAUAAAUAGUUGUAGUAGCGGCAAGAAAAAGAA
This 771-nucleotide long non-coding RNA is filed under the name Polistes fuscatus (common paper wasp). RNAcentral's name for it is "uncharacterized LOC122518250, transcript variant X4". The record is from RNAcentral. Lineage: Eukaryota; Metazoa; Arthropoda; Insecta; Hymenoptera; Vespidae.